RNAcentral lists this ribosomal RNA (253 nucleotides) under uncultured bacterium. RNAcentral describes it as "partial 16S ribosomal RNA". It matches the Rfam family "Bacterial small subunit ribosomal RNA", at positions 524 to 776 of the family's 1533-position model. The record is from RNAcentral.
UACGUAGGGUGCAAGCGUUGUCCGGAAUUAUUGGGCGUAAAGAGCUCGUAGGCGGCUCGUCGCGUCGGCUGUGAAAACCUGGGGCUCAACCCCGGGCCUGCAGCCGAUACGGGCGGGCUAGAAUUCGGUAGGGGAGACUGGAAUUCCUGGUGUAGCGGUGAAAUGCGCAGAUAUCAGGAGGAGCACCGGUGGCGAAGGCGGGUCUCUGGGCCGAUAUUGACGCUGAGGAGCGAAAGCGUGGGGAGCGAACAGG